Molecule: long non-coding RNA, 987 nt
Organism: Eublepharis macularius
Lineage: Eukaryota; Metazoa; Chordata; Lepidosauria; Squamata; Eublepharidae
Exons: 2
Source: RefSeq, a predicted model, not a curated record
AAGACUGUAGGGUAAAAUAGGAUCAUCCUAUAAUAUGAGGCUAAGCCGCUUCCAAAAUGCCAUGGGAGUUUGGAAACAUUUCGCAAACUAAACAGUCAGAAAUGAUUCAUCGAUUAAUACUGCAAAGGGGAUAGUAUAAAUGCUCUUGCCACUUGCAACCAUCUCCACUAUUCUGCUCUGCUUCUCUUGCUUGCUUGCUUGCUUCUCUUCUGCUGCUGCUACUAUGACUCAUCAUUCCAAGAUGUCAUGUGGCUGUGCACCGUCUUGUGCCCCUCAGUCUUCCUGCUCCCCGUGUAGCUAUCCAGUUGGUGGUCUGAGCUCCCUGAGUACAUGCUGCCCCACCUCCUGCGGUGGUUGUUCAAGUAGCCUUGGCAUCUCCCCCUGUGUGAAUAACGUCUCAAGUAUCACCCAACUCUCACCAUCAGAAAUUGGGAUACAACCACCUUCUUUCACUAUAACAAUCCCAGGCCCCAUUUUCUGGUCCUCCGAUGAUCCUGUCCGUAUGGGAGGGUACAUCGCCCUCUGAGUGCAAACGGGUGUCCGUUUCCAAGGUGUGCAGUUCACCAUGUUAAGCUGGGACGUCAACAAGAAUGGGAAGGAAAUGUGAUCUGGAAAGUAUAAAAUGGAUUCACAUCUGAUGACAUCUCAGAUGUGGGUAUAUCAAACCUGUCCAAGCAAAUUGUAUCUUCUCUGCUCUCACCUCUAAAGUUUCCUCUGCAAUCUUUAUAUCAUUUGCCUUAACUUACGUUGACUAGGAGACCAGAAGGGUGUGAACAUCUUCCCUCUGCGGGCCUUUAAGUAUUUCAGGGUCCCACAAAAAUCUUUCUCCUUAAACAGUUUGACAGCAUAUGCCAGUCUUGUCAUCCAAACUAGACGGUCAGUGGGAAAGCCCCUGUUUGCUGGGCAAAGAAUUGAUGUUUAUCAUUUAUGCAAAUGAUGUCACUCGCUGUCCUUUCUUCAUUAAAGCUUCUGCCUGCAUUAAAAUUU